This 289-nucleotide ribosomal RNA is filed under the name uncultured bacterium. Its description in RNAcentral is "partial 16S ribosomal RNA". It matches the Rfam family "Bacterial small subunit ribosomal RNA", at positions 773 to 1060 of the family's 1533-position model. The record is from RNAcentral.
GUGGAUUAGAUACCCUGGUAGUCCACGCUGUAAACGAUGUCAACUAGCCGUUGGUCCUAUUUACAGGAUUAGUGGCGCAGCUAACGCAUUAAGUUGACCGCCUGGGGAGUACGGCCGCAAGGUUAAAACUCAAAUGAAUUGACGGGGGCCCGCACAAGCGGUGGAGCAUGUGGUUUAAUUCGAUGCAACGCGAAGAACCUUACCUACCCUUGACAUCCAGAGAAUCUGUUAGAGAUAGUAGAGUGCCUUCGGGAACUCUGAGACAGGUGCUGCACGGUUGUCGUCAACU